GCUCUGUAUCAAGUAGUUUUUAUUUCCUUCCCACCUCAUCCACACGCAUCUCCUCGUCCCCUCCUCUCCUCCCUCGCCGCCGCUCCGAUCUCCCUCUCUACCAGCCAGCUCCGCCGAUCGAUGACGCCCGCAGAUCCUAGUUCCUCUCUACUUCUUCUAUCUACUCCUACCGCAAUCUUUUGUAGCCACAGCGUGAAACACCCAGCCCAUCCAACCCUAGAUUGUUGAUCGAUGUCGUCGAUCUGGAAGUUCCGUUGACUGCUUGUCGAGGGCAUGCUAUCAGGAAGAACACCCCAGCCUGUGCGUGUGGUUGAGGCCAGGUGACCAAGUUGUUGGCUCAUCCGGGGACUGAUGCAGUCAUGACUGUGACCAACAGGUUCGCCGCGCUUCAGACGCCGGCCGCGUCCGGCAGUAUACUGGUAAUACUGGUAGGGAGGACGAGGAACCUGACAUGAGGACAUGUAUGAGUUCAAGGGCUGCAUCAGUCUCAACUUUAGGUUGGCAUACAAUGAAAUUCCCGAUCUAUUUGAUCACCCUACGGUCUGGAGUUGUGCUACUCCACAGUGCAGAGCUUCAUGGGCUGAUGGAUACGUAUAGCUAACUGCAACAUUGAAGAACGUGGGGCAACUACAUGACCCUCUGGCUUCACUGAUACACCCUGUGAUGGUCUAGAAAGCCAGUAAAGAUUGGCAAGAUAAGUGUGGAUGCUAUGGAUAUCAUACUUAUUGCAAGGUGUAACAUGUCUUUGUUUGUCAAUAUUCUUAGUGCACCAGUCAGACCACCAAUACGGUAAGUACUAUUCCUUCCCCCAAAUCAUACUGUAUGCUAUUUUUCUCUUCAUGAUGCAAACUACAGUUGAUCAAUGCACUGCUGUUUAUGUAAUGCUAUGGACCUUGAGGUACUCCUAUUUUUUUUUUUGAGGGAUUGAGGUACUCCUGUUAUGUCAUGCAGGACAUGCGUGAACUUCUACCAAAGCCCGUCAGAUUGCUGUCUACGUUUGUGAUAAUGCGAUUGACCAUUCAAUAGAUUAGCUAAUUUUUAUAUACUGUUUGAUGGGUUUGUUCAGAUAUUGUUGUUAUUCCUUUUGCCAGAUUUCUUUUUGCAUUUUUGUCUGUGAUAACGGACUUGUAGGUCUAAGAGAAAUUUCAACAUUCUUGAUUGCUGAAUUUGCUUUGGCGUGCCACCAAGGUCACAUAGAUCAGCAAGACUUGCUAUAUUCGGAUAUUAGCUCUCAACGUGUUAGGCAUAUUAUUACAGAGAAUACAUAUAGUAUUAGGCAGAUACUAUUUUUUUUUUUGACUUGAUGCAAUAUUGUAAAGGUUCUACUCUUGAGACAAGUAUUUCAUGUAUGGGAUGGUGC
Non-coding RNA from Lolium perenne, 1360 nucleotides. The record is from RefSeq and is a predicted model, not a curated record. NCBI's taxonomy places the organism in Eukaryota, Viridiplantae, Streptophyta, Magnoliopsida, Poales, Poaceae.